This 466-nucleotide ribosomal RNA is filed under the name uncultured bacterium. RNAcentral's name for it is "bacterial SSU rRNA". It matches the Rfam family "Bacterial small subunit ribosomal RNA", at positions 917 to 1382 of the family's 1533-position model. The record is from RNAcentral.
GGGCCCGCACAAGCAGUGGAGCAUGUGGUUUAAUUCGACGCAACGCGAAGAACCUUACCUAGGCUUGAAACGCUAGUUAAUCCCGAUGAAAGUCGGGGUUCCGCAAGGAGAACUAGUACAGGUGCUGCAUGGCUGUCGUCAGCUCGUGCCGUGAGGUGUUGGGUUAAGUCCCGCAACGAGCGCAACCCUCGUUCUUAGUUGCCAUCAGAUAAUGCUGGGCACUCUAAGAAGACUGCCUACGCAAGUAGUGAGGAAGGUGGGGAUGACGUCAAGUCCGCAUGGCCCUUACGCCUAGGGCCACACACGUGCUACAAUGGCCAUCACAAAGGGCUGCAAUACCGCGAGGUGGAGCCAAUCCCUAAAAAAUGGUCUCAGUUCGGAUUGGAGUCUGCAACUCGACUCCAUGAAGCUGGAAUUGCUAGUAAUCGCGCAUCAGCACGGCGCGGUGAAUACGUUCCCGGGCCUU